This 468-nucleotide ribosomal RNA is filed under the name uncultured bacterium. Its description in RNAcentral is "partial 16S ribosomal RNA". It matches the Rfam family "Bacterial small subunit ribosomal RNA", at positions 28 to 507 of the family's 1533-position model. The record is from RNAcentral.
GACGAACGCUGGCGGCGUGCUUAACACAUGCAAGUCGAACGGAAAGGCCCUGCUUUUGUGGGGUGCUCGAGUGGCGAACGGGUGAGUAACACGUGAGUAACCUGCCCUUGACUUUGGGAUAACUUCAGGAAACUGGGGCUAAUACCGGAUAGGAGCUCCUGCUGCAUGGUGGGGGUUGGAAAGUUUCGGCGGUUGGGGAUGGACUCGCGGCUUAUCAGCUUGUUGGUGGGGUGGUGGCUUACCAAGGCUUUGACGGGUAGCCGGCCUGAGAGGGUGACCGGCCACAUUGGGACUGAGAUACGGCCCAGACUCCUACGGGAGGCAGCAGUGGGGAAUAUUGCACAAUGGGUGGAAGCCUGAUGCAGCAACGCCGCGUGCGGGAUGACGGCCUUCGGGUUGUAAACCGCUUUCGCCUGUGACGAAGCGUGAGUGACGGUAAUGGGUAAAGAAGCACCGGCUAACUACGUG